AGAGUUUGAUUAUGGCUCAGGAUAAACGCUGGCGGCGUGCCUAACACAUGCAAGUCAAGGAGAAAGUCUGCUUCGGUAGACGAGUAAACUGGCGAACGGGUGAGUAACGCGUAGAUAACUUGCCCAAAGGACUGGGAUAACUUCGAGAAAUCGGGACUAAUACCGGAUAUGGCAAUCAGUCAUAAGACUGGUUGUAAAAGGGGGUUUCGGCUCCCACCUUUGGAUAGGUCUGCGUCUGAUUAGUUAGUUGGUGGGGUAACGGCUUACCAAGACGACGAUCAGUAGCUGGUCUGAGAGGAUGAUCAGCCACAUUGGGACUGAGAUACGGCCCAGACUCCUACGGGAGGCAGCAGUGGGGAAUUUUGCGCAAUGGGGGAAACCCUGACGCAGCAACGCCGCGUGGUCGAUGAAGCUUCUAGGAGUGUAAAGACCUGUCGUUGGGGAAGAACAGGACAGUGAGUAACUGCUCUGUCCGUGACUGUACCCUUCAAGAAAGCUCCGGCUAACUCCGUGCCAGCAGCCGCGGUAAUACGGGGGGAGCAAGCGUUAUCCGGAAUCACUGGGCGUAAAGGGCGCGUAGGCGGAUGGUUAAGUCAAAUCUGAAAGUUAACAGCUUAACUGUUAAAGUGGGUUUGAUACUGGUUAUCUUGAGUGCGAGAGAGGAAAGCGGAAUUCCUGGUGUAGCGGUGAAAUGCGUAGAUAUCAGGAGGAACACCGGUGGCGAAGGCGGCUUUCUGGCUCGUAACUGACGCUGAGGCGCGAAAGCGUGGGUAGCAAACAGGAUUAGAUACCCUGGUAGUC
Molecule: ribosomal RNA, 801 nt
Filed under: Lachnospiraceae bacterium enrichment culture
Lineage: Bacteria; Bacillati; Bacillota; Clostridia; Lachnospirales; Lachnospiraceae
Description: bacterial SSU rRNA
Rfam family: Bacterial small subunit ribosomal RNA
Source: RNAcentral